CAGCAGUCGCCACGGGAAUACGUAGGGUGCAAGCGUUAAUCGGAAUUACUGGGCGUAAAGCGUGCGCAGGCGGUUAUAUAAGACAGAUGUGAAAUCCCCGGGCUCAACCUGGGAACUGCAUUUGUGACUGUAUAGCUAGAGUACGGCAGAGGGGGAUGGAAUUCCGCGUGUAGCAGUGAAAUGCGUAGAUAUGCGGAGGAACACCGAUGGCGAAGGCAAUCCCCUGGGCCUGUACUGACGCUCAUGCACGAAAGCGUGGGGAGCAAACAGGAUUAGAUACCCCCGUAGUCCCUGUCUCUUAUAC
This 304-nucleotide ribosomal RNA is filed under the name uncultured bacterium. Its description in RNAcentral is "partial 16S ribosomal RNA". It matches the Rfam family "Bacterial small subunit ribosomal RNA", at positions 506 to 807 of the family's 1533-position model. The record is from RNAcentral.